AUUGAACGCUGGCGGCAGGCCUAACACAUGCAAGUCGAACGGUAACAGGAAGCAGCUUGCUGCUUCGCUGACGAGUGGCGGACGGGUGAGUAAUGUCUGGGAAGCUGCCUGAUGGAGGGGGAUAACUACUGGAAACGGUAGCUAAUACCGCAUAAUGUCGCAAGACCAAAGAGGGGGACCUUCGGGCCUCUUGCCAUCGGAUGUGCCCAGAUGGGAUUAGCUUGUUGGUGGGGUAACGGCUCACCAAGGCGACGAUCCCUAGCUGGUCUGAGAGGAUGACCAGCCACACUGGAACUGAGACACGGUCCAGACUCCUACGGGAGGCAGCAGUGGGGAAUAUUGCACAAUGGGCGCAAGCCUGAUGCAGCCAUGCCGCGUGUAUGAAGAAGGCCUUCGGGUUGUAAAGUACCUUCAGCGGGGAGGAAGGGAGUAAAGUUAAUACCUUUGCUCAUUGACGUUACCCGCAGAAGAAGCACCGGCUAACUCCGUG
Molecule: ribosomal RNA, 490 nt
Filed under: uncultured bacterium
Lineage: Bacteria
Description: partial 16S ribosomal RNA
Rfam family: Bacterial small subunit ribosomal RNA
Source: RNAcentral